This is a long non-coding RNA of Eurytemora carolleeae, 575 nucleotides long. RefSeq lists it as uncharacterized. The record is from RefSeq and is a predicted model, not a curated record. NCBI's taxonomy places the organism in Eukaryota, Metazoa, Arthropoda, Copepoda, Calanoida, Temoridae. The transcript is spliced from 2 exons.
UAUUUUCAUGAAAAAAAUAUGUCUGCAGUUCUUAUACACUUGAAUGUACAAAAUAUAAUUGCUCUCCUUUUUCUCCCAAUAGUGCUAUUUUACCCAGUGAAAAUUUGAUUUAUUUGUUAGGAUAAAACUUUAAAUAAAUUGUUGUGGCUGGCCUUCCUCCCCUCCUUGUUUUUUAAAAACUCAAAAUAUGUAUUUUUCAAGACUGUGACUUGUGAACAUCAGUGUUAAAUAUGAAAUUAUAAAAUCAAAAGUUUUAUUUAUACAAAAAGAUUUUGGUGCCUUAUAAAUGUGUGGUCCAAUUUCUUCAUAUAAGUAAAAUAUGUAAUAUUCAAACUAUUUUUAAUAAGUAUUUAAGAAACGGGGUUGCCUACAAAGGACAAGAACAAGAUUUCUUCCAGGUCAAUAUCAAAGUCUCAUCCUUUGUGGGUAACUCUGUGUACAUUUUGAAAGACAGAAAACAUUUAGUUAGAAGACGACAAUAAAUGAAUCCCUCCGGUAUACUUUUUCUUGAUAAACGUAGAUGUAUUCUAGCCAGAAGAUUAUUAAUAUAUAAUAGAUUAAUUUGCUCCAACUUA